UAAAUUGAGAGUUUGAUCCUGGCUCAGGACGAACGCUGGCGGCGUGCCUAACACAUGCAAGUCGAGCGAUGAAACCCUUCGGGGUGGAUUAGCGGCGGACGGGUGAGUAACACGUGGGUAACCUGCCUCAAAGAGGGGAAUAGCCUCCCGAAAGGGAGAUUAAUACCGCAUAAUAUGUUUURRUCGCAUGAUUGAGACAUCAAAGGAUUCUCUUUAGAGYUUCCACUUUGAGAUGGACCCGCGGCGCAUUAGCUAGUUGGUGAGGUAACGGCCCACCAAGGCAACGAUGCGUAGCCGACCUGAGAGGGUGAUCGGCCACAUUGGAACUGAGACACGGUCCAGACUCCUACGGGAGGCAGCAGUGGGGAAUAUUGCGCAAUGGGGGAAACCCUGACGCAGCAACGCCGCGUGAAUGAUGAAGGCCUUCGGGUUGUAAAGUUCUGUCUUCUGGGACGAUAAUGACGG
This 465-nucleotide ribosomal RNA is filed under the name Clostridium estertheticum. Its description in RNAcentral is "bacterial SSU rRNA". The record is from RNAcentral. Lineage: Bacteria; Bacillati; Bacillota; Clostridia; Eubacteriales; Clostridiaceae.